RNAcentral lists this ribosomal RNA (525 nucleotides) under Bifidobacterium longum subsp. suillum. RNAcentral describes it as "bacterial SSU rRNA". It matches the Rfam family "Bacterial small subunit ribosomal RNA", at positions 162 to 702 of the family's 1533-position model. The record is from RNAcentral. Lineage: Bacteria; Bacillati; Actinomycetota; Actinomycetes; Bifidobacteriales; Bifidobacteriaceae.
GGUAAUGCCGGAUGUUCCAGUUGAUCGCAUGGUCUUCUGGGAAAGCUUUCGCGGUAUGGGAUGGGGUCGCGUCCUAUCAGCUUGACGGCGGGGUAACGGCCCACCGUGGCUUCGACGGGUAGCCGGCCUGAGAGGGCGACCGGCCACAUUGGGACUGAGAUACGGCCCAGACUCCUACGGGAGGCAGCAGUGGGGAAUAUUGCACAAUGGGCGCAAGCCUGAUGCAGCGACGCCGCGUGAGGGAUGGAGGCCUUCGGGUUGUAAACCUCUUUUAUCGGGGAGCAAGCGAGAGUGAGUUUACCCGUUGAAUAAGCACCGGCUAACUACGUGCCAGCAGCCGCGGUAAUACGUAGGGUGCAAGCGUUAUCCGGAAUUAUUGGGCGUAAAGGGCUCGUAGGCGGUUCGUCGCGUCCGGUGUGAAAGUCCAUCGCUUAACGGUGGAUCCGCGCCGGGUACGGGCGGGCUUGAGUGCGGUAGGGGAGACUGGAAUUCCCGGUGUAACGGUGGAAUGUGUAGAUAUCGGAA